Molecule: ribosomal RNA, 372 nt
Filed under: uncultured organism
Description: bacterial SSU rRNA
Rfam family: Bacterial small subunit ribosomal RNA
Source: RNAcentral
CGUAGGUGGCAAGCGUUGUCCGGAAUUAUUGGGCGUAAAGGGCGCGUAGGCGGCACCCUAAGUCAGAUGUGAAAACCCGGGGCUUAACUCCGGAGGUGCAUUUGAAACUGGGGAGCUUGAGUGCAGGAGAGGUAAGUGGAAUUCCUAGUGUAGCGGUGAAAUGCGUAGAUAUUAGGAGGAACACCAGUGGCGAAGGCGACUUACUGGACUGUAACUGACGCUGAGGCGCGAAAGCGUGGGGAGCAAACAGGAUUAGAUACCCUGGUAGUCCACGCUGUAAACGAUGGAUACUAGGUGUGGGAGGUAUCGACCCCUUCCGUGCCGCAGUAAACGCAAUAAGUAUCCCGCCUGGGGAGUACGGCCGCAAGGUUG